CUAAACCAUGCACCGAAGCUGCGGCAGCGACACUGUGUGUUGUUGGGUAGGGGAGCGUUCUGUAAGCCUGUGAAGGUGUGUCGUGAGGCAUGCUGGAGGUAUCAGAAGUGCGAAUGCUGACAUAAGUAACGAUAAAGCGGGUGAAAAGCCCGCUCGCCGGAAGACCAAGGGUUCCUGUCCAACGUUAAUCGGGGCAGGGUGAGUCGACCCCUAAGGCGAGGCCGAAAGGCGUAGUCGAUGGGAAACGGGUUAAUAUUCCCGUACUUGGUGUUACUGCGAAGGGGGGACGGAGAAGGCUAUGUUGGCCGGGCGACGGUUGUCCCGGUUUAAGCGUGUAGGUGUGUGUUCCAGGUAAAUCCGGUUCACUUUAACACUGAGGCGUGACGACGAGGCACUACGGUGCUGAAGCAACAAAUGCCCUGCUUCCAGGAAAAGCCUCUAAGCAUCAGGUAACAUCAAAUCGUACCCCAAACCGACACAGGUGGUCAGGUAGAGAAUACCAAGGCGCUUGAGAGAACUCGGGUGAAGGAACUAGGCAAAAUGGUGCCGUAACUUCGGGAGAAGGCACGCUGACACGUAGGUGAAGUGAUUUACUCAUGGAGCUGAAGUCAGUCGAAGAUACCAGCUGGCUGCAACUGUUUAUUAAAAACACAGCACUGUGCAAACACGAAAGUGGACGUAUACGGUGUGACGCCUGCCCGGUGCCGGAAGGUUAAUUGAUGGGGUCAGCGCAAGCGAAGCUCCUGAUCGAAGCCCCGGUAAACGGCGGCCGUAACUAUAACGGUCCUAAGGUAGCGAAAUUCCUUGUCGGGUAAGUUCCGACCUGCACGAAUGGCGUAAUGAUGGCCAGGCUGUCUCCACCCGAGACUCAGUGAAAUUGAACUCGCUGUGAAGAUGCAGUGUACCCGCGGCAAGACGGAAAGACCCCGUGAACCUUUACUAUAGCUUGACACUGAACAUUGAGCCUUGAUGUGUAGGAUAGGUGGGAGGCUUUGAAGUGUGGACGCCAGUCUGCAUGGAGCCGACCUUGAAAUACCACCCUUUAAUGUUUGAUGUUCUAACGUGGACCCGUUACCCGGGUUGCGGACAGUGUCUGGUGGGUAGUUUGACUGGGGCGGUCUCCUCCUAAAGAGUAACGGAGGAGCACGAAGGUUGGCUAAUCCUGGUCGGACAUCAGGAGGUUAGUGCAAUGGCAUAAGCCAGCUUGACUGCGAGCGUGACGGCGCGAGCAGGUGCGAAAGCAGGUCAUAGUGAUCCGGUGGUUCUGAAUGGAAGGGCCAUCGCUCAACGGAUAAAAGGUACUCCGGGGAUAACAGGCUGAUACCGCCCAAGAGUUCAUAUCGACGGCGGUGUUUGGCACCUCGAUGUCGGCUCAUCACAUCCUGGGGCUGAAGUAGGUCCCAAGGGUAUGGCUGUUCGCCAUUUAAAGUGGUACGCGAGCUGGGUUUAGAACGUCGUGAGACAGUUCGGUCCCUAUCUGCCGUGGGCGCUGGAGAACUGAGGGGGGCUGCUCCUAGUACGAGAGGACCGGAGUGGACGCAUCACUGGUGUUCGGGUUGUCAUGCCAAUGGCACUGCCCGGUAGCUAAAUGCGGAAGAGAUAAGUGCUGAAAGCAUCUAAGCACGAAACUUGCCCCGAG
This 1639-nucleotide ribosomal RNA is filed under the name Salmonella enterica. RNAcentral's name for it is "partial 23S ribosomal RNA". It matches the Rfam family "Bacterial large subunit ribosomal RNA", at positions 1181 to 2803 of the family's 2925-position model. Lineage: Bacteria; Pseudomonadati; Pseudomonadota; Gammaproteobacteria; Enterobacterales; Enterobacteriaceae. The record is from RNAcentral. RNAcentral also lists the same sequence under 2 other names.